This is a non-coding RNA of Ceratotherium simum simum (southern white rhinoceros), 84 nucleotides long. NCBI's taxonomy places the organism in Eukaryota, Metazoa, Chordata, Mammalia, Perissodactyla, Rhinocerotidae. The record is from RefSeq and is a predicted model, not a curated record.
GAGAGGGCAGUGGGGAGAGAAAGGAAUGACUUUUAGGAAAGAUAAAUGGGCCCUUAGGAGAAUAGAUGGAAGGUAUGAUAGUUU